Molecule: unclassified non-coding RNA, 693 nt
Filed under: Hevea brasiliensis (rubber tree)
Lineage: Eukaryota; Viridiplantae; Streptophyta; Magnoliopsida; Malpighiales; Euphorbiaceae
Source: RNAcentral
CUGGAAAUUGUCAAUGGAUAUCAGAUCUUAUAAAAACUCUAAUUAUAUUGUGGAAUAUAUGGCAAUAAAUGGAACUGGUCUCUUCCUGUUUGGUCAUAGUGGAUCUGCUGUUGUAAUUCAGAUAAGUUUGUCACCAUCCGAUUUCCGAACUGCCCAGUUGGGUGCUUCUGGUCGCUUUAUGAUCAGACGCUUUUCUGGUAGUGAUAGGGAACAGGAAUUUCUGGGGCCAAUUAAUGAUUGUCAAAUUCCACUCAUCUGUGGAAAAAUUGGAUUGUGUAUGGAUACUAAGUCCAACAGAACAACUUGUUCGUGUCCACAAGGUUUCCAUCGAGUUUCACAAAAUUCUAGUGGGUGCAUGCCAAGUGGUCGUUCUUUGCCGCGUGCUUGUGAUUCAACCAGUCAGUUGAAUCCCUCUGCUCUUUCAUAUUCAAGGCUUGGUUAUGAUAUGGAUUACUUUUCUAUUGAUUUCUCUGAGCCUGUAAGAUAUGGGGUAAAUUUGUCAGUUUGUCAAGAGUUUUGCACAUCAGACUGUUCUUGCUUGGGAAUUUUUUAUGCAAAUUCAUCAGGAUCUUGCUAUGCACUUGAAAAUGACUUGGGUUCCAUCAUAUCAAGCGCUGCAGAUGAUGAUGAUGAUCUGUGGGGCUACAUUAAAGUUAUAGUUGGAGCAGCUUCAGAUCUCAAUAACACCUAUAG